RNAcentral lists this ribosomal RNA (402 nucleotides) under uncultured bacterium. RNAcentral describes it as "bacterial SSU rRNA". It matches the Rfam family "Bacterial small subunit ribosomal RNA", at positions 29 to 417 of the family's 1533-position model. The record is from RNAcentral.
AACGAACGCUGGCGGCGUGCCUAACACAUGCAAGUCGAACGAGAAAGGGGCUUCGGCCCUGAGUAAAGUGGCGCACGGGUGAGUAACACGUAGGUAACCUGCCUUUAAGAUUGGGAUAACCUGUCGAAAGACGAGCUAAUACUGAAUAAGACCACAGCUUCCUCGGAAGCAGGGGUCAAAGGUAGCCUCUAUUUAUAAGCUAUCACUUAAAGAUGGGCCUGCGUACCAUUAGCAGUUGGUGAGGUAACGGCUCACCAAGGCAAAGAUGGUUAGCUGGUCUGAGAGGAUGAUCAGCCACACUGGAACUGAGACACGGCCCAGACUCCUACGGAGGCAGCAGUGGGAAUCUUGCGCAAUGGGCGAAAGCCUGACGCAGCGACGCCGCGUGAGGGAUGACGGCCU